This 704-nucleotide ribosomal RNA is filed under the name uncultured prokaryote. RNAcentral's name for it is "bacterial SSU rRNA". It matches the Rfam family "Bacterial small subunit ribosomal RNA", at positions 28 to 750 of the family's 1533-position model. The record is from RNAcentral.
GAUGAACGCUGACAGAAUGCUUAACACAUGCAAGUCGAUUCGAUUUACCUUCGGGUAUUGAGGAUGGCGGACGGGUGAGUAACGCGUAAGGAACUUGCCUCUUGGUCUGGGACAACUGUUGGAAACGACAGCUAAUACCGGAUAUUAUGAGAUUCUCGCAUGGGAAACUUAUGAAAGCUAUAUGCGCCAAGAGAGAGCCUUGCGUUCCAUUAGCUAGUUGGUGGGGUAACGGCCCACCAAGGCGACGAUGGAUAGCCGGCCUGAGAGGGUGAACGGCCACAAGGGGACUGAGACACGGCCCUUACUCCUACGGGAGGCAGCAGUGGGGAAUAUUGGACAAUGGGCCACAAGCCUGAUCCAGCAAUUCUGUGUGCACGAUGAAGGUCUUCGGAUUGUAAAGUGCUUUCAGUUGGGAAGAAGAAAGUGACGGUACCAACAGAAGAAGCGACGGCUAAAUACGUGCCAGCAGCCGCGGUAAUACGUAUGUCGCAAGCGUUAUCCGGAUUUAUUGGGCGUAAAGCGCGUCUAGGCGGAAAAAUAAGUCUGAUGUUAAAAUGCGGGGCUCAACUCCGUAUUGNGUUGGAAACUGUUUUUCUAGAGUACUGGAGAGGUGGGCGGAACUACAAGUGUAGAGGUGAAAUUCGUAGAUAUUUGUAGGAAUGCCGAUGGAGAAGUCAGCUCACUGNACAGAUACUGACGCUAAA